GUAGGGGGCAAGCGUUGUCCGGAAUUAUUGGGCGUAAAGCGCGCGCAGGCGGUCUCUUAAGUCUGAUGUGAAAGCCCACGGCUCAACCGUGGAGGGUCAUUGGAAACUGGGAGACUUGAGUGUAGGAGAGGAAAGUGGAAUUCCACGUGUAGCGGUGAAAUGCGUAGAUAUGUGGAGGAACACCAGUGGCGAAGGCGACUUUCUGGCCUACAACUGACGCUGAGGCGCGAAAGCGUGGGGAGCAAACAGGAUUAGAUACCCUGGUAGUCCACGCUGUAAACGAUGAGUGCUAGGUGUUAGGGGUUUCGAUGCCCUUAGUGCCGAAGUUAACACAUUAAGCACUCCGCCUGGGAGUACGGCCGCAAGGCUG
Molecule: ribosomal RNA, 370 nt
Filed under: uncultured organism
Description: partial 16S ribosomal RNA
Rfam family: Bacterial small subunit ribosomal RNA
Source: RNAcentral